This 2913-nucleotide ribosomal RNA is filed under the name Providencia stuartii. Its description in RNAcentral is "23S ribosomal RNA". It matches the Rfam family "Bacterial large subunit ribosomal RNA". The record is from RNAcentral. Lineage: Bacteria; Pseudomonadati; Pseudomonadota; Gammaproteobacteria; Enterobacterales; Morganellaceae.
GGUUAAGCGACUAAGCGUACACGGUGGAUGCCUAGGCAAUCAGAGGCGAUGAAGGACGUGCUAAUCUGCGAAAAGCGUCGGUAAGGUGAUAUGAACCGUUAUAACCGACGAUGUCCGAAUGGGGAAACCCAGUGCAAUUCGUUGCACUAUCGUUUGAUGAAUCCAUAGUCAAACGAGGCGAACCGGGGGGAACUGAAACAUCUCAGUACCCCGAGGAAAAGAAAUCAACCGAGAUUCCCCUAGUAGCGGCGAGCGAACGGGGAGCAGCCCAGAGUCUUAAUCAGCAUCAGCAUCAGGAGAACGGUCUGGAAAGGCCGGCAAUAAAGGGUGAUAGCCCCGUAUCCGAAGGUGUUGGUGUUGUGAACUCGAUGAGUAGGGCGGGACACGUGUUAUCCUGUCUGAAUAUGGGGGGGACCAUCCUCCAAGGCUAAAUACUCCUGAUUGACCGAUAGUGAACCAGUACCGUGAGGGAAAGGCGAAAAGAACCCCGGCGAGGGGAGUGAAAUAGAACCUGAAACCGUGUACGUACAAGCAGUGGGAGCCUUGAUUUAUCAGGGUGACUGCGUACCUUUUGUAUAAUGGGUCAGCGACUUAUAUUCUGUAGCAAGGUUAACCGAAUAGGGGAGCCGUAGGGAAACCGAGUCUUAACUGGGCGAAUGAGUUGCAGGGUAUAGACCCGAAACCCGGUGAUCUAGCCAUGGGCAGGUUGAAGGUUGGGUAACACUAACUGGAGGACCGAACCGACUAAUGUUGAAAAAUUAGCGGAUGACUUGUGGCUGGGGGUGAAAGGCCAAUCAAACCGGGAGAUAGCUGGUUCUCCCCGAAAGCUAUUUAGGUAGCGCCUCGUGAACUCAUCUUCGGGGGUAGAGCACUGUUUCGGCUAGGGGGGUCAUCCCGACUUACCAACCCGAUGCAAACUACGAAUACCGAAGAAUGUUAUCACGGGAGACACACGGCGGGUGCUAACGUUCGUCGUGAAGAGGGAAACAACCCAGACCGCCAGCUAAGGUCCCAAAGUCAUGGUUAAGUGGGAAACGAAGUGGGAAGGCUCAGACAGCCAGGAUGUUGGCUUAGAAGCAGCCAUCAUUUAAAGAAAGCGUAAUAGCUCACUGGUCGAGUCGGCCUGCGCGGAAGAUGUAACGGGGCUAAACCAUGCACCGAAGCUGCGGCAGCGACAUGUAAAUGUUGUUGGGUAGGGGAGCGUUCUGUAAGCCUGUGAAGGUGUGCUGCGAGGCAUGCUGGAGGUAUCAGAAGUGCGAAUGCUGACAUAAGUAACGAUAAUGCGGGUGAAAAACCCGCACGCCGGAAGACCAAGGGUUCCUGUCCAACGUUAAUCGGGGCAGGGUGAGUCGACCCCUAAGGCGAGGCAGAAAUGCGUAGUCGAUGGGAAACAGGUUAAUAUUCCUGUACUGGUGAUAAUUGCGAUGGGGGGGACGGAGAAGGCUAGGCUGGCCGGGCGACGGUUGUCCCGGUUUAAGGAUGUAGGUGGGCGAAUUAGGCAAAUCCGGUUCGCUAUACACUGAGGUCUGAUGACGAGUCACUACGGUGGCGAAGUAGCUCAUGCCCCGCUUCCAGGAAAAGCCUCUAAGCUCUAGAUUAUCAUUAAUCGUACCCCAAACCGACACAGGUGGUCAGGUAGAGAAUACUCAGGCGCUUGAGAGAACUCGGGUGAAGGAACUAGGCAAAAUGGUGCCGUAACUUCGGGAGAAGGCACGCUGGCAUUAGGUGAAGUGGUUUACCCAUGGAGCUGAAGCCAGUCGCAGAUACCAGCUGGCUGCAACUGUUUAUUAAAAACACAGCACUGUGCAAACACGAAAGUGGACGUAUACGGUGUGACGCCUGCCCGGUGCUGGAAGGUUAAUUGAUGGGGUUAUCCGUAAGGAGAAGCUCUUGAUCGAAGCCCCAGUAAACGGCGGCCGUAACUAUAACGGUCCUAAGGUAGCGAAAUUCCUUGUCGGGUAAGUUCCGACCUGCACGAAUGGCGUAAUGAUGGCCAGGCUGUCUCCACCCGAGACUCAGUGAAAUUGAACUCGCUGUGAAGAUGCAGUGUACCCGCGGCAAGACGGAAAGACCCCGUGAACCUUUACUAUAGCUUGACACUGAACAUUGAGCCUUGAUGUGUAGGAUAGGUGGGAGGCUUUGAAGUGUGGACGCCAGUCUGCAUGGAGCCAACCUUGAAAUACCACCCUUUAAUGUUUGAUGUUCUAACGUUGCCCCAUAAUCUGGGGUGCGGACAGUGUCUGGUGGGUAGUUUGACUGGGGCGGUCUCCUCCCAAAGCGUAACGGAGGAGCACGAAGGUUGGCUAAGCAUGGUCGGACAUCAUGCGGUUAGUGCAAAGGCAUAAGCCAGCUUGACUGCGAGAGUGACGGCUCGAGCAGGUACGAAAGUAGGUCUUAGUGAUCCGGUGGUUCUGAAUGGAAGGGCCAUCGCUCAACGGAUAAAAGGUACUCCGGGGAUAACAGGCUGAUACCGCCCAAGAGUUCAUAUCGACGGCGGUGUUUGGCACCUCGAUGUCGGCUCAUCACAUCCUGGGGCUGAAGUAGGUCCCAAGGGUAUGGCUGUUCGCCAUUUAAAGUGGUACGCGAGCUGGGUUUAGAACGUCGUGAGACAGUUCGGUCCCUAUCUGCCGUGGGCGUUGGAAGAUUGAAAGGGGCUGCUCCUAGUACGAGAGGACCGGAGUGGACGCACCGCUGGUGUUCGGGUUGUCAUGCCAAUGGCACUGCCCGGUAGCUAAGUGCGGAAGAGAUAACCGCUGAAAGCAUCUAAGCGGGAAACUUGCCUUGAGAUGAGUCUUCCCUGACUCUUUAAGGGUCCUAAAGGAACGUUUAAGACGAAGACGUUGAUAGGCUGGGUGUGUAAGCGUAGCGAUACGUUGAGCUAACCAGUACUAAUGAACCGUGAGGCUUAACCUG